AAAGCUUUAUCGGUGGUAUGUUNUCGAAUUUACUAAAUGGGUGCAAAUUCCCACUGNUCAAAUAAAGGACGAGAAGACCCUAGAAANUUUGUAUGAUUUGUNAGGGAUAAAUUUUUGUUGGGGCAACAUAGUAACAUUUAAUUUACAAUANUGAACAUGUCACAAGGGUAGGAAGAUUAAAUUACUCUAGGGAUAACAGCGUAAUUCUNCAAGAGUUUGCGACCUCGAUGUUGGACUAGGAAGCCGAUGCUUAGAAGGUGANAAGCUAUGCUCUGUUCGAGCNAGAUAAUCCUACGUGAUCUGA
Molecule: ribosomal RNA, 304 nt
Filed under: Amplirhagada alta
Lineage: Eukaryota; Metazoa; Mollusca; Gastropoda; Stylommatophora; Camaenidae
Description: partial 16S ribosomal RNA
Source: RNAcentral